GCAUGAUUUGCCCAUGAAGRUUAUGGUGUUAUGCUAGCAAACAUGGAAGUCAAUGGUUGUAUAUGAAAUCUGAAAGGUUAACUUCCUAGCUGACUGUAUAGUUACUCCCUAUUAAUCAAGCAGAUGCCUGCAACUUUAGCAUUGCGGUUUUUUUUUCCAAUUUAAUAUUUGGUUUAGAAAGAGGAAAGUUUGCAGAGGUAUGAAAUAACUAAUCUAAGCUACAGAAUCUUAUUAUACUUGUAUUUUAGCACUACAACUGAAACAGAACUCUGAAGAAUGCUGUGUCCGAAAUUUUAAAGUAUUCUUUACACAGAUGUUUUAGGAAUAUAGAGCUUUCUAACUGAAAAAGAUUAAGGAAGAACUUUGAGAAAAGACGUAUGUUUCACAUUUAGCAUAAAUCAUUCUUUUUAUAAAAUAUAACCAUAAUUUGGAAACUUUUUUCCUGUGAGAACCAAAAAACUCGUCUUUCUGUAUACAGUGUGAAUUAAUAUCAAUGAGUGUGAAUUAAUAUCAAUGAGUGAAUGCAUGUGGAAUACAGUGUAGUUGCCAAAUCAUUAAACCAAUGAGGGAUGACUGCUUCUAUCUUGAUAUAGAUAUUCUUUAUAUAUAAUGAAGGUUUCCAACUCUAAUUGUUUGCAAUUGCAUUCCUUGUAGAUUUAGUUUUCAAAGAUGAAUAUACACCACAAUUUUAUUUGAAUGCUGGAGAAAGUCUAAAUAAGACUAGCUAAUCUUUAAAAAAAAAAAAAAAAAAAAAAAAUCCCUGAAACUACAGUAUGAAAUUGAGGUCUAUAGUGUUAUUGUUCUAUGUAAGGAUAUUGGUUGUACUGCUGUGAAUUUGGUGACUUUUGUAUAGUGUAUCAUGCUUAUUUCUUUUUAAAUGUUUAGGAAUUUGCCAGAUCUUUUUUUGAUAUGUGGUUGCUGAAGCAUUAUUGCAGGACAGCAGUAAUGACUGAAGAACACCCUUCAGGAGUUAACGCAAGCACUUUAAAACCUACUCAAAGUCGAGAAAAAUAA
This 1014-nucleotide long non-coding RNA is filed under the name Dromaius novaehollandiae (emu). RNAcentral's name for it is "lncRNA (ENSDNVG00000017861.1)". Lineage: Eukaryota; Metazoa; Chordata; Aves; Casuariiformes; Dromaiidae. The record is from RNAcentral.